GUGGUGAAGCUCCCAAGAGGGUAUCAACCCCAGCAUACUUGCAUGACUUGCAAUAUACAACACCUUGCACUGCUACGAAACUCCUUGGGAAAUGAUAGCUUGGUGAGUGAGCCGGAGGCUGUGGGUGUUUUGGGGGCUGAGCGACAGGUGGUUGUGGGUGUUUUGGUGGCUGGGUCGGUGGUUUAACUGGUGACUUAACAGGUGGUUGUUGGCUUUUUGAUGGAGAGUGCACGGGAUGUUGAACAGGAGGAUGUGAGUGUGGCAUUGGUGGGUGGACUGGUGCAUGGGC
Molecule: unclassified non-coding RNA, 289 nt
Filed under: Hevea brasiliensis (rubber tree)
Lineage: Eukaryota; Viridiplantae; Streptophyta; Magnoliopsida; Malpighiales; Euphorbiaceae
Source: RNAcentral